CCUACGGGAGGCAGCAGUAAGGAAUAUUGGACAAUGCUCGCAAGAGUGAUCCAGCCAUGCCGCGUGCAGGAAGAAUGCCCUAUGGGUAGUAAACUGCUUUUGAACUAGAGAAAACCCCAGUACGUGUACUGGGCUGAUAGUAUAGUUAGAAUAAGCAUCGGCUAACUUCGUGCCAGCAGCCGCGGUAAGACGAAGGAUGCAAGCGUUAUCCGGAUUCAUUGGGUUUAAAGAGAGCGUAGGUGGACUUAUAAGUCAGUGGUGAAAUCUCCGAGCUUAACUCGGAAAUUGCCAUUGAUACUGUAGGUCUUGAGUACAGUUGCUGUGGGCGGAAUAUGACAUGUAGUGGUGAAAUACAUAGAGAUGUCAUAGAACACCGAUUGCGAAGGCAGCUCACAAAGCUGUAACUGACACUGAGGCUCGAAAGUGCGGGGAUCAAACAGGAUUAGAUACCCUGGUAGUCCGCACCGUAAACGAUGAUUACUCGCUGCUAGGGGGCAACCUUUAGUGGCUUAGCGAAAGCGAUAAGUAAUCCACCUGGGGAGUACGCCGGCAACGGUGAAACGUCAAAGGAAUUGACGGCGNGAGAGNGCGACGGCGACGACGAGGGAGGAGG
RNAcentral lists this ribosomal RNA (613 nucleotides) under uncultured bacterium. Its description in RNAcentral is "bacterial SSU rRNA". It matches the Rfam family "Bacterial small subunit ribosomal RNA", at positions 338 to 951 of the family's 1533-position model. The record is from RNAcentral.